GGGAUGAAUGAAGCCAGAUAGGGCUGUCACCAAGAAUCACAGCCUGCACAGCCUGUCCGAGGUGGGACCUUUCCCCUUGCUCUCCAAAGGCACUCAGCACUCCCUGCAGGAUGUGUGCACAGGCUUUGUACUCAGAGGAACCACGAUGAACCUUGAAGACCUCCUUGUACUAUUCCUUCAGGAAAAUGGAAGUUGAAGAUCCCGGAGGCUCUGAAGACUUUGCAUGGCCCUGACCCUCCCAUCCUUCCCAGCUGGGUGUGCACAUCCCUCUGGGGCCCCCCUCCCUCCCUGCUACCUGUAAUAUACAGGUGGCUCAUUAAAGAAGUAGAGCUGCAGCCCCAUCCAGAAGUACCAUGUAAAGCAUAAAGUGGAUUUUGGAAACAGCAAAGCCCUUUGUUUUGUUUCAGUGCCAUGAACUUUAUUCUCCCUUCCCCACUGCCCGGGCAGCACAACCCCACGGUGCUGCAUGGGGGUGCACGGGGAUGCCUCGCCAUGGGGAGCCCCCUAGGCCAUGGGGCUUAGUGCCAGCUUAGAGUGAUCUCAUUUUCACAGCCGAAAAGCCUCCAUAAGUCAUCAGCUUUUGUAGGAAAUGCUAAUAAAGCCACAAACUCUGCAAGGAAAAGGACUGGGACUGUCAGCCCCAUCCACUUUCCUCCCAGACUGAACUUUGCCAGUGCCUCCCAGGCACAGCUGCCUCUCCCCUGGCCAAAAUAUUUUCAGCCCAGGACAAGCUGGGGACACACUGGUGGGCAGCAAGCACUUGGUCCUGGGACAGCCACUUCUGCCGUGCCACCAACGUGCCACCAAUUUCCUCUCGGUGCCAGGCAGCCCAGAGAACUUCAGCUGCACCCAGCUCAGCCCGCCUGUGCUGGCAGGGAGAUGAAAACUCGGCAGCAAAACCAAGCUCUGUGUGUUCGGGGAAAGAGCUCGUGGAGAAGCGACAGGGAAUGGCCUCGCCGUGACCCCAGCCUCAAACACGCCAGCUUUGAAGAAGUCUCUAAAAAAGCUUUCGUGCCAGUCCCGUGACUGCAAACCCCAGCGCUCCCUGCGUUCCAGCAGCUUCAUCUCCCUACCUGCUCCGUGCAAGGUGAGGCGAAGCCCCUCGCUCACCCCUGCACAUUGCAUGUGCUUCUCUCUACAGCCCAAACCCUGCCCCUGCAAUGAACCCUGCCCCGUCUGAACCCUGCCCCUGAAAUAUUUUCCUGUGCCGAGGUGGGCUGCUUCAUCUGGCACAGCCAGAGCAAAGCUGACCAGUGCCAAGGGCUGGAGCAUCUCCUCGCCCCCAGCAAAGCACAGGCCAGCCCCAGGGUGUUCCCAUAGGGUGCCGGCUGCUUCCAGGGACAUUUCGGAGCACUCCUGAGCUCUCCAGAGCUCCGAUGGGAUUCUGGCUGAUGGAUGCUGGAUGGGACAGAACAAAGCUGCUGUGCCAGUUGUCACCAGGAAGCCUUGUACAUUAUAUCGCAAAUUAACUGAAAUAAUGGAGGUUGUGCAAAUGCACUUGGUCCUAGCAGGAUCCUAGGGUCCUAGCUGUGACUAAACUCACUUUGUCUUUAGCUUUGAAGUUUUCCCCACUGACCAAAGGCAGAGGGUUGUGUUGUUUAUCCUGUGCGGGAAGGCAUCAUUUUGCAGACACCUUGGUGCUUCCUUUUUCGGGUUGCUUGCAAGUUUAUCCAGAACGUGGCCAUGCUGGCAUCACCCUCCCAGACCCCAUGCGAUGACUUCUGAAGCCUCCUCAUCCAUCACCCCUGCGGGCACCAGUGCAGACACAGUCUCCUCUCCUGGCCCACCCUGCAAAACUCCAGCACGUGUGACCUGGCAUCAUGCUCAGCUGCCUUGCCUGCUCACUGCUGCCUUAUUCCUGCCUUCGAGUCCAAUGCUGGAGAGCUGCUGAAGCCAGGUACCCUGUAGGUGUCCCUGAAAUUGCUUGUGUGAGGGGGGAGAGCACGGGGGGGCUCGCGUAAUUGAAACAAUCCUUCUCUCAAUCACCGUUCUGCAAUGUUUAUGCCUCACGCUUUGCCUCUGAUGUCGAGAGCAAGCUGAUAGCCACGGUAUUAAUAAGUUGUUUGUACAAUAAUUGCUGCUUAAGAUAAAUGAUUCAUAAAGUCCUACCAUGGUCUUGGAAAUGGUGUAAACAGGGAGAGCAGCUGGAGGACAGCCGUGGGAUGCUAAUGAGAGACCACCACGGGGAAGUAAAUAUAUGAAGACUGGGGAGAAGGGGGAUUAAUCCAGCCCCAAGUGCUAGAGAGCAUCCCGCUUCCAGAGCUCACCUGCAGCACAGAAGCAGAGCUGUCCAGCUCAGUGGGUCAUUAGACCUGAAAUAAGAUGUUGCAAGAGUCACUAGAAACUAGAAAAAGCCUGGGGAUGGGGUGAGCAGCAGGUGUGUGCUGUGCUGCCUCUCUUCUUCCACCCAUCUCCAGACCCUCUCCAGCGACAGCGCUGCCGGGUGCUGCGAGCAGGACCCAUGAAGGUGGAGCUGCCAGUCCAGGAGGUUAAAUUAGAGCUGUUGUGAGCUGCUGCUUCACUGGGAAAUCACAGCAUGAAGUUUAGAGCUGGCUGACUGGCUCCAAGCAGGAACCAGAGGGGCCUAUGGAAGCCUUUAGUCCAGAGGUGGGUGAAACACGGGGCUGUGCUCCUGAGCUGCUCCCAGCUGGGCUGUGGCAGAGGGAAAUGCUGAUGGUGCCAGGGCACUGACACCCUCCUGCCAGCAUCAUCCCACCAGGUGCAGUGUUAAGAGGGGACAAGAGAUGGCAGCAGCCCCCACCACUGCCAGCAUCCCUGCAGAAAGG
Molecule: long non-coding RNA, 2786 nt
Filed under: Cairina moschata (Muscovy duck)
Lineage: Eukaryota; Metazoa; Chordata; Aves; Anseriformes; Anatidae
Description: domestica (muscovy Duck (domestic type)) lncRNA (ENSCMMG00000004804.1)
Source: RNAcentral